UACAGAGGGUGCGAGCGUUAAUCGGAUUUACUGGGCGUAAAGCGUGCGUAGGCGGCUUUUUAAGUCGGAUGUGAAAUCCCCGAGCUUAACUUGGGAAUUGCAUACGAUACUGGGAAGCUAGAGUACGGUAGAGGAUGGUAGAAUUCCAGGUGUAGCGGUGAAAUGCGUAGAGAUCUGGAGGAAUACCGAUGGCGAAGGCAGCCAUCUGGCCUAAUACUGACGCUGAGGGAUGAAAGCUGGGGGAGCAAACCGG
Molecule: unclassified non-coding RNA, 253 nt
Filed under: uncultured Moraxellaceae bacterium
Lineage: Bacteria; Pseudomonadati; Pseudomonadota; Gammaproteobacteria; Moraxellales; Moraxellaceae
Description: contains 16S-23S intergenic spacer region
Rfam family: Bacterial small subunit ribosomal RNA
Source: RNAcentral